AGCCCUGAGCAUGAAUCAAACUAACAAAAGGGGGAAAUGGUUUUCCUAAUGGCUUUCUCUCCGGAAAGCAAAGUACUCCAGCAGGUGAGGCCAAGGUGGGCCAUUAAAUCUUCAUGCAGGAAGAACAUCAAGCUGCCCCAGAUCUCACGGAGUCUCCUGUGGAGUCCUGGAGUUUUGUUCAAACCACUAGAGGUUAAUGACAGGUGAUCUCGGAUGGAUGUCUCCCCACCAUUGGAAGGGAGAAUCCAACCAUCCAGGUUAGAUUCUAUUCUAUUAAUUCUAUGAUUAAUUAAUUUUCAAGCA
Molecule: long non-coding RNA, 303 nt
Filed under: Ictidomys tridecemlineatus (thirteen-lined ground squirrel)
Lineage: Eukaryota; Metazoa; Chordata; Mammalia; Rodentia; Sciuridae
Description: lncRNA (ENSSTOG00000032002.1)
Source: RNAcentral